Molecule: long non-coding RNA, 276 nt
Filed under: Manihot esculenta (cassava)
Lineage: Eukaryota; Viridiplantae; Streptophyta; Magnoliopsida; Malpighiales; Euphorbiaceae
Description: long non-coding RNA (MESC_LNC012813)
Source: RNAcentral
GUAGGACCAACGUCCAGAUGGUCUAGCGAAACUCAUCUUGUGGCCUUAUUUAGUGGGACCAACGCCCGGAUAGUCUAGCAGAACCCGCCUUGUGACCUAACUUGGCGAAACUCGCCUUGUGACCUGACUUGACGGAACCUGUCUUGUGACCUUAUUUAGUGGGACCAAAGCCCGAAUGGUCUAGCAGAGCCCGCCUUGUGACUUGGCCUGGCGGAAUCUGCCUUGUGGCCUUGUUUAGUGAGACCAACACUCGGAUAGUCUAGCAGAACCCGCCUU